ACAAUAAUUAUAAAAGGGAUUCACAUUUUCAUUUCAGAAAGAAGACCCUGGGACCAAUGUGGAAAUAAGUUGAAAAUGGACUGGAGGUAGAGAUUAUACUUUGGAAUCUGUUUUAAAUCAGCGAGAGAUGGUGAUGGAUGAUCGAUGAAUUGGAUUACGAAGAGGGAUGAAUGAGCAGAAUUUGAUUCAGCUUAGAUGUAGUCAGUGAGGGAGAAGGAAGAAUCAAGUCUGAUUCCUAGUUUCCUCGUCUGGGCAACCAGAUGGAUGGUGAUGCCUUUCAUUGAGAAAUGUGACGUAUGAAGAGGACCGACUCCUUUAUGGGGAGGAGUGGCAGGUGCCGGUGAAACUUCCAGCCAGGUCAUGGAAGCUACCUAAAUGCCCAUCGACAGACGAAUGGAUAAAGAAGAUGUGGUACAUAUAUACAAUGGAAUAUUACUCAGCCAUAAAAAGGAAUGAUAUUGGGUCAUUUGUUGAGACGUGGAUGGAUCUGGAGACUGUCAUACAG
Molecule: long non-coding RNA, 505 nt
Organism: Lagenorhynchus albirostris (white-beaked dolphin)
Lineage: Eukaryota; Metazoa; Chordata; Mammalia; Artiodactyla; Delphinidae
Exons: 2
Source: RefSeq, a predicted model, not a curated record